GACGAACGCUAGCGGUGUGCUUAAUACAUGCAAGUCGAACGGUUCUUUUUCAGAUGAAGCUUCGGCUGAUUCUAAAAAAGAAUAGUGGCGAACGGGUGAGUAACGCGUGGGUAAUCUGCCCUUAAGACCGGGAUAAGCUUUCGAAAGGAAGUUUAAUACCGGAUAAUAAAACCAAAUCGAAUGAUUUGGCUUUCAAAGGUAGCUUUUAAAGCUUCCGCUUUUGGAUGAGCCCGCGUCCUAUCAGCUUGUUGGUGAGGUAAAGGCUCACCAAAGCUAAGACGGGUAGCCGGUCUGAGAGGACGGUCGGCCACACUGGGACUGAGACACGGCCCAGACUCCUACGGGAGGCAGCAGUAGGGAAUCUUGCGCAAUGGGCGAAAGCCUGACGCAGCGACACCGCGUGGAGGAUGAAGGUUUUCGGAUUGUAAACUCCUGUCAAUAGAGGAAGAAGGCAUUAAAGGUUAAUAGCUUCUAAUGUUGACGGUACUCUGUAAGGAAGCCCCGGCUAACUACGUGCCAGCAGCCGCGGUAAUACGUAGGGGGCAAGCGUUGUCCGGAUUUAUUGGGCGUAAAGCGCACGCAGGCGGCUUUUCAAGUCGGAUGUGAAAUCUCUUGGCUAAAACUAAGAAACUGCAUCCGAAACUGGAUUGCUUGAGUUCGGUAGAGGAGAGUGGAAUUCCCGGUGUAGCGGUGAAAUGCGCAGAUAUCGGGAAGAACACCAGUAGCGAAGGCGGCUCUCUGGAACGAUACUGACGCUAAGGUGCGAGAGCUAGGGUAGCAAACAGGAUUAGAUACCCUGGUAGUCCUAGCUGUAAACGAUGGGUACUAGAUGUAGGGAGAUAUCGACUCUCUCUGCGUCGGAGCUAACGCAUUAAGUGCCCCGCCUGGGGAGUACGACCGCAAGGUU
This 907-nucleotide ribosomal RNA is filed under the name uncultured bacterium. Its description in RNAcentral is "bacterial SSU rRNA". It matches the Rfam family "Bacterial small subunit ribosomal RNA", at positions 28 to 895 of the family's 1533-position model. The record is from RNAcentral.